ACUUGGGCAUGCCAGCGUGCUGGGCUCUCCGUUGCUGCCAACUAACGUGGAUUUUCUCCUCUUAAGGUGUGGACAAAUCCUCCAAGAUUUAACUUCCAAGGAAACCGGCGGCGGAGCGGGUGGAGGAGGCGAGGAUGUGUGGCCAGUGCACGCGGAGUGCAAGGCCGCCUAGUUGGGAGCCGCAAGAGCCUGCCUGGUGUGGCAGGCACACGGAACCCAAUCCCUGUCUGUCUGCUGCGGCCUGGGAGGGGAGCGCCGGCCUCACCAGAGGAAGGAGCACGAGGGGAGGAGUUCCUAGAGGAAAUAAUUAGUGAAAUAUUUGCGGAAGAUGCUGGGAUGUGGAUUUAAUUCCACAUGGACAGUGGUGCUUCUGAUUCCCUCAGUCUGUUUCCCUUGGCCUAGACACAUCAAAAAUAAUUCAUUAAAAUAAAAAUAAAAAUUUAAAAACC
This 449-nucleotide non-coding RNA is filed under the name Pongo abelii (Sumatran orangutan). Lineage: Eukaryota; Metazoa; Chordata; Mammalia; Primates; Hominidae. The record is from RNAcentral.